CGUACGAGAGUUUUUAACUCAAGUGGCGGACGGGUGAGUAACACGUAAGAAUUUGCCUUUAGGAGGGGGACAACAACUGGAAACGGUUGCUAAUACCCCAUAUGCUUUAUAGUGAAACGGAUUUUCCGCCUAAAGAGAAGCUUGCGGCUGAUUAGCUUGUUGGUGAGGUAAUGGCUUACCAAGGCGACGAUCAGUAUCUGGUUUGAGAGGAUGAUCAGACACACUGGAACUGAGACACGGUCCAGACUCCUACGGGAGGCAGCAGUAGGGAAUUUUCCGCAAUGGGCGAAAGCCUGACGGAGCAAUACCGCGUGAGGGAUGACUGCCUAUGGGUUGUAAACCUCUUUUUUCAGGGAGGAAUCAAUGACGUUACCUGAAGAAUAAGCAUCGGCUAACUCCGUGCCAGCAGCCGCGGUAAGACGGAGGAUGCAAGUGUUAUCCGGAAUCACUGGGCGUAAAGCGUCUGUAGGUGGUUUGAUAAGUCAACUGUUAAAUCUUGAGGCUCAACCUCAAAAUCGCAGUCGAAACUAUUAGACUAGAGUAUAGUAGGGGUAAAGGGAAUUUCCAGUGGAGCGGUGAAAUGCGUAGAUAUUGGAAGGAACACCGAUGGCGAAGGCACUUUACUGGGCUAUUACUAACACUCAGAGACGAAAGCUAGGGUAGCAAAUGGGAUUAGAUACCCUGGGAGUCCCCUGAAUUCCAGCACACU
This 709-nucleotide ribosomal RNA is filed under the name uncultured phototrophic eukaryote. Its description in RNAcentral is "bacterial SSU rRNA". It matches the Rfam family "Bacterial small subunit ribosomal RNA", at positions 63 to 817 of the family's 1533-position model. The record is from RNAcentral.